GUGUUGAGGAAGAUAAUGACGGUACUCAACAAGGAAGUGACGGCUAACUACGUGCCAGCAGCCGCGGUAAAACGUAGGUCACAAGCGUUGUCCGGAAUUACUGGGUGUAAAGGGAGCGCAGGCGGGAAGACAAGUUGGAAGUGAAAUCCAUGGGCUCAACCCAUGAACUGCUUUCAAAACUGUUUUUCUUGAGUAGUGCAGAGGUAGGCGGAAUUCCCGGUGUAGCGGUGGAAUGCGUAGAUAUCGGGAGGAACACCAGUGGCGAAGGCGGCCUACUGGGCACCAACUGACGCUGAGGCUCGAAAGUGUGGGUAGCAAACAGGAUUAGAUACCCUGGUAGUCCACACUGUAAACGAUGAUUACUAGGUGUUGGAGGAUUGACCCCUUCAGUGCCGCAGUUAACACAAUAAGUAAUCCACCUGGGGAGUACGACCGCAAGGUUGAAACUCAAAGGAAUUGACGGGGGCCCGCACAAGCAGUGGAGUAUGUGGUUUAAUUCGACGCAACGCGAAGAACCUUACCAAGUCUUGACAUCCUGCGACGGACAUAGAAAUAUGUUUUUCCUUCGGGACGCAGAGACAGGUGGUGCAUGGUUGUCGUCAGCUCGUGUCGUGAGAUGUUGGGUUAAGUCCCGCAACGAGCGCAACCCUUAUGGUCAGUUACUACGCAAGAGGACUCUGGCCAGAUCGCG
This 691-nucleotide ribosomal RNA is filed under the name Faecalibacterium prausnitzii. RNAcentral's name for it is "bacterial SSU rRNA". It matches the Rfam family "Bacterial small subunit ribosomal RNA", at positions 436 to 1153 of the family's 1533-position model. The record is from RNAcentral. Lineage: Bacteria; Bacillati; Bacillota; Clostridia; Eubacteriales; Oscillospiraceae.